Molecule: ribosomal RNA, 767 nt
Filed under: uncultured bacterium
Lineage: Bacteria
Description: bacterial SSU rRNA
Rfam family: Bacterial small subunit ribosomal RNA
Source: RNAcentral
UCUGAUGUGAAAGCCCACGGCUUAACCGUGGAGGGUCAUUGGAAACUGGAGGACUUGAGUACAGAAGAGGAGAGUGGAAUUCCACGUGUAGCGGUGAAAUGCGUAAGAUGUGGAGGAACACCAGUGGCGAAGGCGACUCUCUGGUCUGUAACUGACGCUGAGGAGCGAAAGCGUGAGGAGCGAACAGGAUUAGAUACCCUGGUAGUCCACGCCGUAAACGAUGAGUGCUAGUGUUAGGGGGUUUCCGCCCCUUAGUGCUGAAGUUAACGCAUUAAGCACUCCGCCUGGGGAGUACGGCCGCAAGGCUGAAACUCAAAAGAAUUGACGGGGGGCCCGCACAAGCGGUGGAGCAUGUGGUUUAAUUCGAAGCAACGCGAAGAACCUUACCAGGUCUUGACAUCCUCUGACACUCCUAGAGAUAGGAUUUUCCCUUCGGGGACAGAGUGACAGGUGGUGCAUGGUUGUCGUCAGCCUCGUGUCGUGAGAUGUUGGGUUAAGUCCCGCAACGAGCGCAACCCUUGAUCUUAGUUGCCAGCAUUCAGUUGGGCACUCUAGGAUGACUGCCGGUGACAAACCGGAGGAAGGUGGGGAUGACGUCAAAUCAUCAUGCCCCUUAUGACCUGGGCUACACAACGUGCUACAAUGGAUGGUACAAAGGGAAGCUAAACCGCGAGGUCAAGCAAAUCCCAUAAACCAUUCUCAGUUCGGAUUGUAGCUGCAACUCGCCUACAUGAAGCCGGAAUCGCUAAGUAAUCGCGGAUCAGCAU